UACGUAGGGCGCAAGCGUUGUCCGGAAUUAUUGGGCGUAAAGAGCUCGUAGGCGGCCUGUUGCGUCCGCUGUGAAAUCCCGGGGCUUAACCCCGGGCUUGCAGUGGAUACGGGCAGGCUGAGGCAGGCAGGGGAGAACGGAAUUCCCGGUGUAGCGGUGAAAUGCGCAGAUAUCGGGAGGAACACCGGUGGCGAAGGCGGUUCUCUGGGCCUGUACUGACGCUGAGGAGCGAAAGCGUGGGGAGCGAACAGG
RNAcentral lists this ribosomal RNA (252 nucleotides) under uncultured bacterium. RNAcentral describes it as "partial 16S ribosomal RNA". It matches the Rfam family "Bacterial small subunit ribosomal RNA", at positions 524 to 776 of the family's 1533-position model. The record is from RNAcentral.